GCUGGCGUUCUGAAAGCUUCUGCGCGGAGCACUACGCGUCGUUGGCCGUACCGGAGGGAAAAAAAGGCGGAGCGAAACUGAUGUGGGUUUUCCUGAGGAUCAGUUUGCCCAUUCUGGGCUGCAGUGUUUAAUUGGGGCGAGCUGGGUGGCGCCUUAUCGAUUUAAUCAGGCAUAUUAGGCAGGACGCUUCUCUGUCGUGUUGCAGCCGGCUUCUCUGAUGGCGACCCCGUAGUCAGGCCGAAAAGCAAGGGUUUUUUGAAUCGCUUACAUCGUCUAAAAGUAAUGGCGUGUUCCCGCACAGUAUCUCCGAUAUUGUUCCGGUUGCAGUUUUUCGUUUGCAUUCAGGUGCGAAGGGAAAAGUGGCACCCCCUGUUGUGCGGUCGAAUACAGACGAGCGUGUGAAAACGGAAUCUUGCCAUCAAGUGUCUAUACCGUUGAAAGUGCGCAAGACGCCUCCGCGCAUUCACAACAGAAAACUGGCGUUCCAGUAGACCCAUGGGGCACCUUUAGCCCGGUGCGUUACCAACUGAUUUUCUAUUCUGCGUGUCAAUUGGUUAUCAUGAUUUCCUUCUUAGCGUGAAAAGGUGCCAGCCAUCCGUUUCCGUCCCGUUCGUUGCCGGCUCAUCCUCGCAGUUCCCCGUAUGUUCAUCUGUCGGCCGUCUUGCCUAGGGCACAAAAGGAGCUGCCUGGAUCGCGAGAUUGGGACAGAUGUCCAAAUGGUAUGUGGUGCGUGUCCGAAUGUACACAGUGGCUGCUUGCUCCGAAGACGGACGCGUGUUACCCAGCAGGACGGCCGCGGACGACAACUUCGUUUCCUAUGUGAUAGGACGGCACACGUCGUAACGGGACGGACGUCAGAUGCUCUCCUGCUUUCUUUGGUCUCCAGCUCUAGCAUUCGCCGGUGGUGACACGCUUGUUUUUCGAAUGCAUUUUGUGCCUGCCCUAACCGUGCAAAGGCGGACCACGAGUUACCUGGAGUUCGGGCAAGAGACGCCGUUAUGUCUGCCAGAUGGAAGAAACGGUUGGAAUCGUUCGUACGGCUGCUUUUGGAGACGAAUCUGUGGCAGUAGUCUGGUUGAUACAGCAAUCGAGUACUGCGCAGAUACGGUGGCAGUCGUGUGUACAGGCCGGUUUGGUCUCUGGGUAUCUCAACUCGUGUUGACUCGCAGUCGCCUUUCGUCUGUCAGAUUCUGUCGAGGCUGGAUGUUCCCUGGUUGUUCACUGGUGACGGUGUCUUCCCAGUAGCUUGGCGUCUUCCAGGCAUUGUACAGAGUCAGCUUUUCGGUGGACAGACGACUUGCGCCUUUUGUGUGGAAGACAGUGCACUGCGUUCUCAUCUGACGGUUCUGUCCUUUCUUCUGUUUUCUUCCCCGCUUCUUUUCUCGGUAUCCGAGUCGUGUGCAUGUAUCCCGUCUUGGCCCGAGCCCACCGGGAUCUUUCGGUGUCGACGUAGUCCUUGUUUUCCCGGUCGUCUCCCUGUUUACAGAGUAAAGUAGAGGGAAACACAAUGGCUGCAGGUGCGGGCAUCGGCAGGGACCACCUGUUUCUGCCCAACUGUGAGGUGGGGGGAACAGCGUCGUCGCCGCUGGACAACCUCCGGUGUCUAGAGGGGCUGUUGGAUGUCACGUACUCCUCUGAGUGCUGCUCUUUUAACGCAGGGACGCAUCCGAUUCUGGUACGCGUACCCCUUGUUUUGCCAGACCAUCAAGAGUGUCAGUCGCAAGUGUCGAAUGACCCCGUGGAGCCUUCCACCGUGUCUCAACCAGUAUUUGGGGGGACGAGACACUCUAAGACUUCGGGAUCGCUCGAGAGAGUAGCAGACAUUUUUGGACGGGUACCUGCGCCUCAAUACUCCUGCCACGGUUUGCCGGAAUGUCUUGCGCAACCUCUCCGGGAAAGCAGGCGUGUUUUCUCGAUGCACAUUAUUACCACGCCUCAUCGGUGCUCGUGUUCGCGGGUGGACGGGAAGGCGAAGCCGACAGGCCGAUUCUCCUCCAGCUUCCUUGCGAAUACCGGGACCGGAGAGCAUGCGUCGGUCUUUUUGGAUAGACCCGGCUGGGAGAGCACAGCGUCCGUCGAGCGUGGAAAAUAGAGGCUGCAUUAGAAUGAGUUUUAAUGGGUGAUUAUAUUGGUUUUAGGUGCAGGAGGCAGUGAUGUGGGUGGGGUGAACAGGGGAGUGUGGCGAUGCGUCUGCUGGAUACUCCAGAGGUGACGGAGCUGCAGAAGAGACCACCGAAAAAUGUGGAGGCUGUCGGAGUGGAUGUCACGGUGCCGGCAAGGUUUGCCUCGUCAGCAAGGGCCGACAACGGUGUGACAGAAAAGCAGAUGCGGUGCAUGUGCCAGGGAGGCGUCUUUGGACAACGCGGAGAGAUACAGAACAAAUUUGUUCAGUUCGCCCCCCCCUCCUGCUCGCCAGCCAGGAAGAGUGGAAGCUUGAGUUCUUUGAAAUAGUGUUGGGAGCGGCAACAUCGACGCGUUCUUGUGGAAGUUAUUAGGUUGUAGUGCUGAGAGGAGUUUUCGGAGGAAAGACGACGGAACGGAGAGCUUGUGUCGAGGCUGAUAUUCCCGGUGCACCAGCAAUAGAGUGGCGCGGCGAAUGAGCAAGGCCACCGAAACAUGGGUGGCGCUUUUAUCCCGAAUUACUAUGGCUCUGAGUGUUGGCCUGUUAUUCUUACCAAGCACACAAACCCCAGACAUUCACCGCAAAGCCGGGCAGAAUUCUCUUCACUGCGUUAGGUGGAGGUGGACCCGAAGCAGUGAGGUGCACGUGUGUGCGAGGCCUUCGGGGACGUUUUCGCGCGAUGUGAAAUAGAUAAUAGCACGCUGAGUGCGAGUUUUUUGUGAAAUGACAAGGGUCGAAACGUGACCGCGAACACCUCAAUUCCCAAAGUCUUUAGGAAGAAAACGACUGGCAGGAUGUGCCAGACGUGGCGCGGUGCCUGUGUUUCACCAAAGCUGCGUCCACAGAAACACACACACGUAGUGCAUGCGUUGGCAGUGCGAGAAGAUCUGGGAGUCUUCGUUAGGCGAGGACGGGAAGUUUCGAAGUCUCUGUCACCCACUGGAUAGGGAUGCAGACGGAGGGUGUCUUUAUGGUGGUAGUAUUUUCCGAAUCGCAGCUUAUAGAGUGCGCCCUCGGAAGUUUUGUGUUCUCUUGAAGCCACCUGGGUGGGCAAAACAGCGAAGAAGAAGCGAACGGGGUUUUUGCGUUGUAUUCUUUCUCCUGCGAUGUGGUACGGUGAAGUUUUCUACAGGGGGGAGGCACAGUGUGUUCCCGCCGUUUUUCCAUUAUGUAGUGCUGCCCGCGUAAUCGUAGGAAUUGGGAGUGGUGUGUUUUUCUGGUUGUGGCGUCAAGGGUUCAUAAUCCUAAGUUACCUUUCUCGCCUUUGGAAAGCGAACAGUGCUUUCCGAGCACGUCGAACACAAGAGGAGAGGCAAGGAAUUCGUCAGUGUUGAGUUCUUGCCUUGUCUCGAGGUCCGAUGUCUUUUCAUUGGUUGGUGUAGAAUCUGCCCAGUAUACAAGUUCCGUACCAACGAGUAACGGAACUGUCUCCCAGCAUUGUUCUACAGAAUGUGUGAUGGAGUUGGGCACGUCUACGAGGAUCCAAUAUUUGCACGGUAGGCUGGCCCUGCGUCUGGUGGGAGCCGGUUGGAGAGUGGAGGGCGUAUUUUUGCUCCUGGAAUCCAGACAGUUAAUGCUGCCAGUUUUUUCUACCCGCCGUUUUGAUUUGUGAGAUGCUGGGGUGCACGUCACUGCAUGGGGUGCUGAUCAUCAGUUGGAAAGACUUCUGGAGUUGCGACGCAAAAGGUCUUGCGGUCUGGGUGGCCAAAGGGCUCUCAAGACAGCGAAGGUUCAUCAGUCGCUCAUUUCUGGUAGGCGCUGUGUUCCUCUUACACCAUUUUGUGUGUUGGUCGGAUUCUUGUCCCUGAUGGCGAAUGCAUGUAGAGCAUGUAGAUAUUUUUCCGGUCAAUACACCAACAUCCUAGGCAGGAGAUUUGUCGAUGUGACGUUUCAUCAUGCCCAGGAGCGGUGUUGAGUCGGUUUAGACGUGAGCUCUCAAGUCUCCAGGCAGCUGUCGCUCGUUUCAAGCUGCUGGAUUCGUGGCUAAGUUCAGCCGGUGUUUCUGGCAAUGGCGGAACCGGGGAGAGACGCGUCACACAUCUGUGCUGUUCGUAGAGGCGCUUGUCAAACGGAUCGACGGCCUGCCUGUGUUGAACCGUGAAGGCGCUUUUGCUGUUCCAAUUUUGUCAGGAGAAUCUCGUGACGAAUGAGGGAUGUCUCAAAAUUGUGCUGUGUUCUUUUCGGAUAAAAACUGCACGAGAAAAAAGCAUUGGAGAACGGACUUUUCGAAUUGAUUGAUUCAGACAGACGUACGCCAGUGCUCAUGGCGCUUUUUGUCGCCUAUCAGCCUUCCGUAGUUUGCUUCAUGUGUCAAACGUCGAGCUACUUUGUUUAUUCAGCCAAAAGGUGUCGUAGCAGAUGCAGACU
Molecule: long non-coding RNA, 4489 nt
Filed under: Toxoplasma gondii VEG
Lineage: Eukaryota; Apicomplexa; Conoidasida; Eucoccidiorida; Sarcocystidae
Source: RNAcentral